CUGGAUUCGUGGAGGCGCAGUCGAGCUGCGGGAGAAGCGUGGUGAGCUGAUCAGCACAGGUGACCAUGCAGUCCCAGAAUCGCAAAAGAGCUCCAGCAUGGACCGAACAGGAGGUACUGGAUCUGAUUGCUGUAUGCUAAAGAAUCCGCGCAGGCAGAACUCCGUUCCAAAAGAUGAAAUGCCAAUAUAUUUGCCAAAAUCUCCAAGGGCAUGAUGGACAGAGGCUACGACAGGGACAGAGCAGUGCCGCGUGAAAAUUAAGGAGCUCAGGCAAACCUAUCAAAAAAACAAAGGAGGCAAACGGUCGCUCUGGGUCAGAGCCCCAUACGUGCCGCUUCUGUGAUGAGCUGCAUCCAAUUCUGGGAUGGGGCCCUACCACUACCCCACCACUGUCUGUGGACACCUGCAAGGGAGGAGUCUCACGCAACAGGGAUGAGGAUUUUGUGGAUGAGGAAGAUGAGGAGGAGAUUGAGGAUAGCGCACAGCAGGCAAGCGGAGAAUCCCUUCUCCCCAGCAACCAGGAACUUUUCACCAAUACCCUCCCAAGGCAGGCUCCUGGACCAUGAACCCGGAGAAGGUACCUCUGCUGCAAAUGUUUCUACGCUCCCCCUAUCAUCUCCAUCCCAGAGGCUAGUGCAGAUUAGAAGGCAAAAAAAACACAUUCGCUAUGGCAUGUUCAGAGCUCAUGCAGUCCUCCCGCACUGAAAGAGUUCAGCAGAAUGCUUGGAGGCAAAGAAUGGCAGAGUCCAGGAAAGCGUUAAAUGAACACGAUGAGAGGAGCACAAUGAGAGGAGGCAGGAUGCAAUGCUGAGGCUAAUGGGGGAGCAAACUGACAUGCUCAGGCGUCUGGUGGAGCUGCGGGAAAGACAGCAGGAGCACAGACUGCCACUGCAGCCCCUGUAUAACCGCCUGCCCUCCUCCCCAAGUUCCAUAUCCUCCUCACCCAGAUGCCCAAGAACGCAGGGGGGAGGCUACGGCACCCAGCCACUCCACCCCAGAGGAUUGCCCAAGCAACAGAAGGCUGGCAUUCAAUAAGUUUUGAACUGUAGUGUGGCCUUGUCCUUCCCUCCUCUCCUCAUCCAGCACCCCACCCGGUGCUUCCUCCCUCACCCACCCCUCCUGGGCUACCUUGCGAGUUUUCUCCCUAUUUGUGUGAUGAAUUAAUAAAGAAUGCAUGAUU
This is a long non-coding RNA of Malaclemys terrapin pileata, 1180 nucleotides long. RefSeq lists it as uncharacterized. The transcript has 3 exons. NCBI's taxonomy places the organism in Eukaryota, Metazoa, Chordata, Testudines, Emydidae. The record is from RefSeq and is a predicted model, not a curated record.